Leopardus geoffroyi (Geoffroy's cat) is the source of this 299-nucleotide long non-coding RNA. RefSeq lists it as uncharacterized. NCBI's taxonomy places the organism in Eukaryota, Metazoa, Chordata, Mammalia, Carnivora, Felidae. The transcript is spliced from 2 exons. The record is from RefSeq and is a predicted model, not a curated record.
GCCCAGUCUGUGCUGAUUCAGCCAUCUUCAGUGUCUGGGUCCCUGGGCCAGACACUUACCAUUUCCUGCACUGGAAGCCCAGCCAACAUUGGGGCCGGUAAGGACCGUCCUCGGUGACCCAAAGCAGCCUCUGAGCCUAUGUCCACACCUUUGGAUCAGACCUCCAAGCAGCUUCACCUCCAUCCCUGCCCCAUCACCCAUGAGUGUCUGUGUUUGUAAGUUCUUUCUGCCAGCCCAUGCUGGCUCAGACACCCUCCUUGUCCGCAUCUCUGAAGAAUCUAAUAGACUCAUUUUCACCC